UACAGAGGGGGCAAGCGUUGUUCGGAAUUACUGGGCGUAAAGGGCGCGUAGGCGGCCUGCUAAGUCGAACGUGAAAUCCCCGGGCUCAACCCGGGAACUGCGUCCGAUACUGGCAGGCUUGAAUCCGGGAGAGGGAUGCGGAAUUCCAGGUGUAGCGGUGAAAUGCGUAGAUAUCUGGAGGAACACCGAUGGCGAAGGCAGCCCCCUGGGCUGAGAUUGACGCUCAGGCACGAAAGCGUGGGGAGCAAACAGG
This 253-nucleotide ribosomal RNA is filed under the name uncultured bacterium. RNAcentral describes it as "partial 16S ribosomal RNA". It matches the Rfam family "Bacterial small subunit ribosomal RNA", at positions 524 to 776 of the family's 1533-position model. The record is from RNAcentral.